GUCCAGACUCCUACGGGAGGCAGCAGUGGGGAAUAUUGCACAAUGGGGGGAACCCUGAUGCAGCGAUGCCGCGUGGAGGAAGAAGGUUUUCGGAUUGUAAACUCCUUUUAUCAGGGACGAUAAUGACGGUACCUGAAGAAAAAGCUCCGGCUAACUACGUGCCAGCAGCCGCGGUAAUACGUAGGGAGCGAGCGUUGUCCGGAAUUACUGGGUGUAAAGGGAGCGUAGGCGGGACGGCAAGUCAGAUGUGAAAACUGAGGGCUCAACUUUCAGACUGCAAUUGAAACUGCUGUUCUUGAGUGAAGUAGAGGUAAGCGGAAUUCCUAGUGUAGCGGUGAAAUGCGUAGAUAUUAGGAAGAACACCGGUGGCGAAGGCGGCUUUCUGGACAGAAACUGACAUUGAGGCACGAAAGUGUGGGGAGCAAACAGGAUUAGAUACCCCGGUAUU
Molecule: ribosomal RNA, 448 nt
Filed under: uncultured bacterium
Lineage: Bacteria
Description: bacterial SSU rRNA
Rfam family: Bacterial small subunit ribosomal RNA
Source: RNAcentral